RNAcentral lists this ribosomal RNA (515 nucleotides) under uncultured bacterium. RNAcentral describes it as "partial 16S ribosomal RNA". It matches the Rfam family "Bacterial small subunit ribosomal RNA", at positions 28 to 523 of the family's 1533-position model. The record is from RNAcentral.
GAUGAACGCUGGCAGCGUGCCUAAUACAUGCAAGUCGAGCGAAUGGAUUAAGAGCUUGCUCUUAUGAAGUUAGCGGCGGACGGGUGAGUAACACGUGGGUAACCUGCCCAUAAGACUGGGAUAACUCCGGGAAACCGGGGCUAAUACCGGAUAACAUUUUAAACCGCAUGGUUCGAAAUUGAAAGGCGGCUUCGGCUGUCACUUAUGGAUGGACCCGCGUCGCAUUAGCUAGUUGGUGAGGUAACGGCUCACCAAGGCAACGAUGCGUAGCCGACCUGAGAGGGUGAUCGGCCACACUGGGACUGAGACACGGGCCAGACUCCUACGGGAGGCAGCAGUAGGGAAUCUUCCGCAAUGGACGAAAGUCUGACGGAGCAACGCCGCGUGAGUGAUGAAGGCUUUCGGGUCGUAAAACUCUGGUGUUAGGGAAGAACAAGUGCUAGUUGAAUAAGCUGGCACCUUGACGGUACCUAACCAGAAAGCCACGGCUAACUACGUGCCAGCAGCCGCAGUAA